UCAGAAUUAGAUAACAAGUCAAAUGUUCAGAAUCCUUCUCUUAUCCUCUACACACCAUCUUCUUCCAUCCCAUCACACCAUGUAGGGUUAAAAACACCCACCAUCCCUACACACCAUAUAGUGUUGAUGCGACAAUAACAGAUAAUAUGCAGUCAAGCUACCAGAAUAUAGGCGACAAGUCGCCAUACAGAUCACUUCCUCCACAUAUACAAAUUUCACCCC
RNAcentral lists this long non-coding RNA (222 nucleotides) under Gossypium raimondii (Peruvian cotton). Its description in RNAcentral is "long non-coding RNA (GRAI_LNC006624)". The record is from RNAcentral. Lineage: Eukaryota; Viridiplantae; Streptophyta; Magnoliopsida; Malvales; Malvaceae.